GAUCAUUACAAGAAACGAGGCUACGUGCCCCGCUCUUUACCUUGCCUACUGCACUAUCUGUUGCUUCCUGGCGGCGGUUUGCCUGCCGCCAGGGACAUUGUAAAGCCCUGCAUAAGCAUUGAAAAAACUGAAACAAACCGAAUCGUACAACUUUCAACAAUGGAUCUCUUGGUUCUGGCAUCGAUGAAGAACGCAGCGAAAUGCGAUAAGUAGUGUGAAUUGCAGAAUUCAGUGAAUCAUCGAAUCUUUGAACGCACAUUGCGCCCCUUGGUAUUCCAUGGGGCAUGCCUGUUCGAGCGUCAUCUAAACCCUCAAGCCUCAUGGGUGUUGUCCCGCCUCGUGCGUGGCCUUCGCCUGGCUUGGUGUUGGGUGCCUGUCCCUGCUCCCCGCGCGGACUCACCCUAAAUAUAUUGGCAGCAGCCCCUCGGCUUCUCGCGCAGCACAUUGCGCAGCGGAGCGUGGAGAGGCGUGCGUCCAGCAAGCGACCCCACUAGUUUGACCUCGGAUCAGGUAGGGAUACCCGCUGAACUUAAGCAUAUCAAUAAGCGGAGGAAAAGAAACCAACAGGGAUUGCCCUAGUAACGGCGAGUGAAGCGGCAACAGCUCAAAUUUGAAAUCUGGCCUCCUUUGGUGGUCCGAGUUGUAAUUUGCAGAGGGUGCUUUGGCGUUGGCAGCGGUCUAAGUUCCUUGGAACAGGACGUCACAGAGGGUGAGAAUCCCGUACGUGGUCGCCCGCCUCCGCCGUGUAAAGCCCCUUCGACGAGUCGAGUUGUUUGGGAAUGCAGCUCUAAAUGGGAGGUAAAUUUCUUCUAAAGCUAAAUACUGGCCAGAGACCGAUAGCGCACAAGUAGAGUGAUCGAAAGAUGAAAAGCACUUUGGAAAGAGAGUCAAAAAGCACGUGAAAUUGUUGAAAGGGAAGCGCUUGCAGCCAGACUUGCCCGUAGUUGCUCACCCGGACUUUUGCCCGGGGCAUUCUUCUGCGGGCAGGCCAGCAUCAGUUUGGGCGACCGGAUAACGGCCUCUGUCAUGUAUCAUCCCUCGGGAUGACCUUAUAGGGGAGGCGUAAUGCGGCCAGCCUGGACUGAGGUCCGCGCAU
Molecule: ribosomal RNA, 1096 nt
Filed under: Dothideomycetes sp. genotype 192
Lineage: Eukaryota; Fungi; Ascomycota; Dothideomycetes
Description: eukaryotic LSU rRNA
Rfam family: Eukaryotic large subunit ribosomal RNA (bases 497-1096)
Source: RNAcentral